AGAGAGAGAGAUGAUGGGGCUAUUAGGGGUUUGCAGUUCUCUUCCGGAUGCUAAAUCACAAGUAGAAUUAACCAAGAGAAAUAGUUCUUUAAUGGGAUUAGGAGACAAUUAUAACUCAUCAAGAACACAAAUAUCUGACAGUUGACAGGCAAAAGUAUCCAAAGACAGAAGGAAUUUAAUAGGAAAUUCACCUAAAAACUACAGGGUCACAAACAGUACCAAGACCUCUAA
RNAcentral lists this unclassified non-coding RNA (231 nucleotides) under Hevea brasiliensis (rubber tree). Lineage: Eukaryota; Viridiplantae; Streptophyta; Magnoliopsida; Malpighiales; Euphorbiaceae. The record is from RNAcentral.